Molecule: ribosomal RNA, 405 nt
Filed under: uncultured bacterium
Lineage: Bacteria
Description: bacterial SSU rRNA
Rfam family: Bacterial small subunit ribosomal RNA
Source: RNAcentral
UGGGGAAUAUUGGGCAAUGGGGGCAACCCUGACCCAGCGACGCCGCGUGAGGGAAGAAGGCCUUCGGGUCGUAAACCGCUUUUAUACGUGAAGAAGCAGGUGACGGUAGCGUACGAAUAAGUCCCGGCUAACUACGUGCCAGCAGCCGCGGUAAUACGUAGGGGACGAGCGUUGUCCGGAAUUACUGGGCGUAAAGGGCGCGCAGGCUGCGCGUCGAGUCGGCUGUUAAAGAUCCGGGCUUAACCCGGUGGAGCGGUCGAGACCGACGAGCUGGAGUGCUGCAGAGGCAAGUGGAAUUCCCGGUGUAGCGGUGAAAUGCGUAGAUAUCGGGAAGAACACCGGUGGCGAAGGCGACUUGCUGGGCAGCAACUGACGCUGAGGCGCGAAAGCCAGGGGAGCAAACGG